AUUGAACGCUGGCGGAAUGCUUUACACAUGCAAGUCGAACGGCAGCACGGGGGCAACCCUGGUGGCGAGUGGCGAACGGGUGAGUAAUACAUCGGAACGUGCCCAGUCGUGGGGGAUAACGUAGCGAAAGCUACGCUAAUACCGCAUACGAUCUCUGGAUGAAAGCGGGGGACCGCAAGGCCUCGCGCGAUUGGAGCGGCCGAUGGCAGAUUAGGUAGUUGGUGGGGUAAAGGCUCACCAAGCCGACGAUCUGUAGCUGGUCUGAGAGGACGACCAGCCACACUGGGACUGAGACACGGCCCAGACUCCUACGGGAGGCAGCAGUGGGGAAUUUUGGACAAUGGGCGCAAGCCUGAUCCAGCCAUUCCGCGUGCAGGAUGAAGGCCCUCGGGUUGUAAACUGCUUUUGUACGGAACGAAAAGGCUUUUCCUAAUACGAGAAGCUGAUGACGGUACCGUAAGAAUAAGCACCGGCUAACUACGUGCCAGCAGCCGCCGCGGUAA
RNAcentral lists this ribosomal RNA (503 nucleotides) under uncultured bacterium. RNAcentral describes it as "bacterial SSU rRNA". It matches the Rfam family "Bacterial small subunit ribosomal RNA", at positions 29 to 523 of the family's 1533-position model. The record is from RNAcentral.